RNAcentral lists this long non-coding RNA (466 nucleotides) under Theobroma cacao (cacao). RNAcentral describes it as "long non-coding RNA (TCAC_LNC005398)". Lineage: Eukaryota; Viridiplantae; Streptophyta; Magnoliopsida; Malvales; Malvaceae. The record is from RNAcentral.
AGAUCGGUGAGUGUUUUGUAGUUGAGGUUGUUAAUUCACUUUGGAGUGAUUAGGCUAGAGAAAAUGGAUAGCCAUUUAAUGGCAAAUUGAAAGCUAGCUAAAAGAUAGCUUUUAGAGUUUAUAGUGUGAAUUAACAUAAUGGUGAUGUUAAUGUAAUGGUAGGUUCCAACGAAGUUCCAUCCUUCCAAUUGGACCAUUAGGGAAUUAAGAGUCGGCUAAAGGCUCAACAAAAUACUGGUGAGUGGACUUGCAUUUCAAACUUGUUUUGGAGAAUGUGAAUGAUUUUAUCCAACUUGUCUUUGAAAAUGUGUGCUAGGGAACAAGCCUUGAUUAAAUGUAUUUGAUAUUGUGAAAUGGAAAAUGUGUAUAAGGAUGAAUCCUUGUGUUUAUUAUUAUGUUGGUAUGUAUGUAUAUACCUUUUGGAUAUGUGCUGUGUAUGGAUGAAUGAUGAUGGCUGAUGAUGUUG